CAGGCCUAACACAUGCAAGUCGAGCGGAAACGGCGGUAUUGAAGCUUCGGUGGAUUUACUGGACGUCGAGCGGCGGACGGGUGAGUAACGGCUGGGAACCUGCCCUGACGAGGGGGAUAACCGUUGGAAACGACGGCUAAUACCGCAUAAUGUCUUGAUUCGUUAGAGUCAGGACCAAAGGUGGCCUCUACAUGUAAGCUAUCGCGUUGGGAUGGGCCCAGUUAGGAUUAGCUAGUUGGUAAGGUAAUGGCUUACCAAGGCAACGAUCCUUAGCUGGUUUGAGAGGAUGAUCAGCCACACUGGGACUGAGACACGGCCCAGACUCCUACGGGAGGCAGCAGUGGGGAAUAUUGCACAAUGGGGGAGACCCUGAUGCAGCCAUGCCGCGUGUGUGAAGAAGGCCUUCGGGUUGUAAAGCACUUUCAGCAGUGAGGAAGGUCGUGUACUUAAUACGUGCACGGCUUGACGUUAGCUGCAGAAGAAGCACCGGCUAACUCCGUGCCAGCAGCCGCGGUAAUACGGAGGGUGCGAGCGUUAAUCGGAAUUACUGGGCGUAAAGCGCAUGCAGGCGGUUUGUUAAGUCAGAUGUGAAAGCCCGGGGCUCAACCUCGGAACCGCAUUUGAAACUGGCAGGCUAGAGUCUUGUAGA
This 649-nucleotide ribosomal RNA is filed under the name uncultured bacterium. RNAcentral describes it as "bacterial SSU rRNA". It matches the Rfam family "Bacterial small subunit ribosomal RNA", at positions 43 to 655 of the family's 1533-position model. The record is from RNAcentral.